GUCUAUAUGAAGGUGUAUAUAGUUUGGCCUGCUCACUGAUUAAAUUAAAGAGCCGCAGUAUUUUGACUGUGCGAAGGUAGCAUAAUAAAUUGUCUUUUAAAUAAAGGCUUGAAUGAAAGGUUGGACAAAGUAUCAUCUGUUUCUUAAAUAUUUAUUGAAUUUGACUUUUAAGUGAAAAGGCUUAAAUAAAUCAAAAAGACGAUAAGACCCUAUAAAUCUUUACAAUAAAUAUAUUUUAUAUUUUAGUUUAUAAGUGAAUGAGAUAUAAAAAUAUAGGUUUGUUGCGCUGGGGCGGCGUAGAUAUAUAAAUAAACUGUCUAUAGUUUAAAUACAAUAAUCAUUGCUUAAUAUAAAUUGAUCCUUAAAUAGAUUAAAAGAUUAAGAUACUUUAGGGAUAACAGCGUUAUUUUUUUUGAGAGUUCUUAUCGAAGAAAAAGUUUGCGACCUCGAUGUUGAAUUAAAGUUUCUCUGUGGUGUAGCCGCUAUAAGAGAGAGUCUGUUCGACUUUUAAUACUUU
Molecule: ribosomal RNA, 517 nt
Filed under: Paralithodes camtschaticus (red king crab)
Lineage: Eukaryota; Metazoa; Arthropoda; Malacostraca; Decapoda; Lithodidae
Description: partial 16S ribosomal RNA
Rfam family: Bacterial large subunit ribosomal RNA
Source: RNAcentral